UCAAGCUAAGAAGAGCGUAGGGAGGAUGCCUUGGCACUAGGCGCCGAAGAAGGACGUGACAAGCUGCGAAAAGCUGCGGGGAGCUGCAAAUGAGCCUUGAUCCGCAGAUAUCCGAAUGAGGAAACUCACUGACGGUAACACGUCAGUAUCCGUACAUGAACACAUAGUGUACAGGAAGGGAACCCGGAGAACUGAAACAUCUCAAUAUCCGGAGGAAGAGAAAGAAACAUCGAUUUCCUGAGUAGUGGUGAGCGAAAGGGAAAGAGCCCAAACCGAAGAAGUAGCAAUACGGAAUCGGGGUAAAGGACCGACAUCACGUGUAUCGAACGUAACCGAAUCGUCAGGAAAGGCGAGCCGAAGACGGUGACAGCCCGGUAGGUGAAACGGGAAGAUAUGCAGUCGGUAUCCGGAGUACCACAGGACACGAGGAAUCCGGUGGGAAGACAGCAGGACCAUCUGCUAAGGCUAAAUACGACCUAGUGACCGAUAGAGUAUAGUACCGAGAGGGAACGGUGAAAAGAACCCCGGGAGGGGAGUGAAAGAGAACCUGAAACCCUAUGCUUACAAGCAGACAGAGCACUACGGUAGUGAUACCAAGUGUGAUGUCGUACCUUUUGUAGAAUGGGCCGGCGAGUUACGAUUUGUAGCGAGGUUAAGGUAUUAAGUACCGGAGCCGAAGCGAAAGCGAGUCUUAAUAGGGCGAAUAAGUUGCAAGUUGUAGACCCGAAACUAGAUGACCUAUCCAUGGGCAGGUUGAAGCUGCGGUAAAACGCAGUGGAGGACCGAACACACGCCUGUUGAAAAAGUCGGUGAUGACCUGUGGAUAGCGGAGAAAUUCCAAACGAAUCUAGAGAUAGCUGGUUCUCCUCGAAAUAGCUUUAGGGCUAGCCUCUAUUGAUGUGUACCGAAGGUAGAGCUCUGUAUAGGCUAGGGGGCUUCACAGCUUACUGAACCUUAACAAACUGCGAAUAUCGGAUACACAAGAUAGGGAGUCAGACAGCGAGAGAUAAGUUCCGUUGUCAAAAGGGAAACAGCCCAGAUCCACAACUAAGGUCCCAAAGUACAGAUUAAGUGGUAAAGGAUGUGUCAUUGCAUAAACAACCAGGAUGUUGGCUCAGAAGCAGCCACACAUUCAAAGAGUGCGUAAUAGCUCACUGGUCGAGUGAUGAUGCGCCGAAGAUUACCGGGGCUAAAAUCUGACACCGAAGUUUGGGGAUGUAUGUAAAUACAUCGGUAGAGGAGCAAUGUAUGAAGGCAGAAGCCGUAUCGAAAGGGGCGGUGGACGACAUACAAGAGAGAAUGCCGGCAUAAGUAGCGAGAGCGGAGUGAGAAACUCCGCCGUCGAAAGUCUAAGGUUUCCUGGGGAAGGUUCGUCCACCCAGGGUAAGUCGGGACCUAAGUCGAGGGCGAAAGCCGUAGAUGAUGGACAACUGGUUGAUAUUCCAGUACUGCCGAAGACGUCUAAAUGAUGCAGUGACACGGAAGGAUAGUCGGGGCGCAUUGAUGGAAAGGUGCGUUCAAAUCAUGAGACCGAUAUGUAGUGAAGUACGCAUAUCAAGGUUAGGUGAUGAUGAGGAGUCCGAAGGACGAAGCCGAUGAAUUCACGCCGGCGAGAAAAGCUGCUAAAUAAGUCAAAAGGCACCCGUACCGCAAACCGACACAGGUAGACGAGGAGAAAAUCCUAAGACGAACGGGAGAACCCUUGUUAAGGAACUCUGCAAAAUGACCCCGUAACUUCGGGAGAAGGGGUGCCUAUGAAAAUAGGUCACAGAAAAGAGGCUCAAGCGACUGUUUACCAAAAACACAGGUCUCUGCGAAAUCGAAAGAUGACGUAUAGGGGCUGACACCUGCCCAGUGCUGGAAGGUUAAGAGGAAGUGUUAGCAGCAAUGCGAAGCACCGAAUUUAAGCCCCAGUGAACGGCGGCCGUAACUAUAACGGUCCUAAGGUAGCGAAAUUCCUUGUCGGGUAAGUUCCGACCCGCACGAAUGGUGUAACGAUUUGAGCGCUGUCUCAAGAGCUUUACUGUAACUUGAUAUUGAAUUUCGGUACUUAAUGUACAGGAUAGGUGGGAGACUGAGAAGUACAGGCGUCAGCCUGUAUGGAGUCACCGUUGGGAUACCACCCUUUAAUUAUUGGGAUUCUAACGAUAGACCGUAAUCCGGCUAUCGAACAGUGUCAGGUGGGCAGUUUGACUGGGGCGGUCGCCUCCCAAAAUGUAACGGAGGCGUUCAAAGGUUCCCUCAGAAUGGUUGGAAAUCAUUCGCAGAGUGUAAAGGUAUAAGGGAGCUUGACUGAGAGACAGACAUGUCGACCAGAUACGAAAGUAGGACUUAGUGAUCCGGCGGUAGAGAAUGGAAUUGCCGUCGCUUAGCGGAUAAAAGUUACCUCGGGGAUAACAGGCUUAUCUCCCCCAAGAGUUCACAUCGACGGGGAGGUUUGGCACCUCGAUGUCGGCUCGUCACAUCCUGGGGCUGUAGUCGGUCCCAAGGGUUCGGCUGUUCGCCGAUUAAAGUGGCACGCGAGCUGGGUUCAGAACGUCGUGAGACAGUUCGGUCCCUAUCCAUCGUGGGCGUAGGAUAUUUGAAAGGCGCUGUCCCUAGUACGAGAGGACCGGGAUGGACAUACCUAUUGUGCACCAGUUGUCACACCAGUGGCACAGCUGGGUAGCGAUGUAUGGAUUGGAUAAACGCUGAAGGCAUCUAAGCGUGAAACCAACCUUAAGAUUAGAUAUCCCAUAUCAUAAGAUAGUAAGACCCCUUGAAGACCACAAGGUUGAUAGGUCGGGCGUGUAAGUGCAGUAAUGCAUUAAGCUAACCGAUACUAAUAGGUCGAGGGCUUGAUCAG
Molecule: ribosomal RNA, 2845 nt
Filed under: uncultured Eubacteriales bacterium
Lineage: Bacteria; Bacillati; Bacillota; Clostridia; Eubacteriales
Description: bacterial LSU rRNA
Rfam family: Bacterial large subunit ribosomal RNA
Source: RNAcentral